This 520-nucleotide ribosomal RNA is filed under the name uncultured Glomus. Its description in RNAcentral is "SSU rRNA". It matches the Rfam family "Eukaryotic small subunit ribosomal RNA", at positions 569 to 1087 of the family's 1831-position model. Lineage: Eukaryota; Fungi; Glomeromycota; Glomeromycetes; Glomerales; Glomeraceae. The record is from RNAcentral.
AGCAGCCGCGGUAAUUCCAGCUCCAAUAGCGUAUAUUAAAGUUGUUGCAGUUAAAAGCUCGUAGUUGAAUUUCGGGAUCAAUUUGCUGGUCGUGCCUCUGGUACGUACUGGUAUUAUUGGUUUCUCCCUUCUGACGAACCAUGAUGUCAUUAAUUUGAUGUCGUGGAGAAUCAGGACUGUUACUUUGAAAAAAUUAGAGUGUUUAAAGCAGGCAUUAGCUUGAAUACAUUAGCAUGGAAUAAUGAAAUAGGACGUUUGAUCCUAUUUUGUUGGUUUCUAGGAUUGACGUAAUGAUUAAUAGGGAUAGUUGGGGGCAUUAGUAUUCAAUUGUCAGAGGUGAAAUUCUUGGAUUUAUUGAAUGACUAACUACUGCGAAAGUCAUUUGCCAAUGGAUGUUUUCAUUAAUCAAGAACGAAAGUUAGGGGAUCGAAGACGAUCAGAUACCGUCGUAGUCUUAACCAUAAACUAUGCCGACUAGGGAUCGGAUGAUGUUAAUUUUUUCAAUGACUCAUUCGGCGCC